CCUACGGGAGGCAGCAGUGAGGAAUAUUGGUCAAUGGCCGGAAGGCUGAACCAGCCAUGCCGCGUGAAGGUCAGUGCCCUAUGGGCGUUAAACUUCUUUUGUGCGGGAGCAAUAAUGGUCACGUGUGGCCAGACGAGAGUACCGUACGAAUAAGCAUCGGCUAACUCCGUGCCAGCAGCCGCGGUAAUACGGGGGAUGCAAGCGGUAUCCGGAUUUAGUGGGGUUAAAGGGUGCGUAGGCUGGGAGGUAAGUCAGCGGUGAAAUGCCCCCGCUCAACGGGGUGAAGUGCCAUUGAUACUGCCUUGCUGGAGUGCGGAUGCCGUAGGCUGACUGUGUGGUGUAGCGGUGAAAUGCAUAGAUAUCACACAGAACACCGAUUGCGAAGGCAUCUCACGAAUCCGCGAUUGACGCUGAUGCACGAAAGCGUGGGUAUCAAACAGGAUUAGAUACCCGUGUAGUC
Molecule: ribosomal RNA, 460 nt
Filed under: uncultured bacterium
Lineage: Bacteria
Description: partial 16S ribosomal RNA
Rfam family: Bacterial small subunit ribosomal RNA
Source: RNAcentral